RNAcentral lists this ribosomal RNA (305 nucleotides) under uncultured bacterium. RNAcentral's name for it is "bacterial SSU rRNA". It matches the Rfam family "Bacterial small subunit ribosomal RNA", at positions 335 to 657 of the family's 1533-position model. The record is from RNAcentral.
UCGCCUACGGGAGGCAGCAGUAGGGAAUAUUGCUCAAUGGGGGAAACCCUGAAGCAGCAACGCCGCGUGGAGGAUGAAGGUUUUCGGAUUGUAAACUCCUUUUGUUAGAGAAGAUAAUGACGGUAUCUAACGAAUAAGCACCGGCUAACUCCGUGCCAGCAGCCGCGGUAAUACGGAGGGUGCAAGCGUUACUCGGAAUCACUGGGCGUAAAGAGCGCGUAGGCGGGAUAGCAAGUCAGAUGUGAAAUCCUAUAGCCUAACUACAGAACUGCAUUUGAAACUAUGAGUCUAGAGUGUGGGAGAGG